UGGGCUGACCGGGCGACCGCGUUGUCUCCUUUGGGGGACACCGAGGAAGGUCCGGGCUCCACAGGGCAAGGUGGUGGCCAACAGCCACCCGGGGAAACCCGCGGGACAGUGCCACAGAAAACAGACCGCCGCUCCUCGCGGGGCGGUAAGGGUGAAACGGUGGUGUAAGAGACCACCAGCGUGCCGGGCGACCGGCGCGGCUAGGUAAACCCCACCUGGAGCAAGAUCAAGAAGCCGUCCUCUUCGGAGGACGGUGCGCACACGUUCGAGGGCUGCUCGCCCGAGUGUGUGGGUGGAUCGCUCGAGACCGGUGGCAACACCGGUCCUAGAUGGAUGGUCGCCCACCGGAGGGCCGCAAGGCUUCCGGACGACAAAACCCGGCCUACAGGUCAGCCCAUCCG
This 401-nucleotide RNase P RNA is filed under the name Nocardioides sp. RNAcentral's name for it is "RNase P RNA component class A". It matches the Rfam family "Bacterial RNase P class A". Rfam says of the family: Ribonuclease P (RNase P) is a ubiquitous endoribonuclease, found in archaea, bacteria and eukarya as well as chloroplasts and mitochondria. Lineage: Bacteria; Bacillati; Actinomycetota; Actinomycetes; Propionibacteriales; Nocardioidaceae. The record is from RNAcentral.